GCUACACACGUGCUACAAUGGCGCAUACAAAGAGAAGCGACCUCGCGAGAGCAAGCGAACCUCAUAAAGUGCGUCGUAGUCCGGAUUGGAGUCUGCAACUCGACUCCAUGAAGUCGGAAUCGCUAGUAAUCGUGGAUCAGAAUGCCACGGUGAAUACGUUCCCGGGCCUUGUACACACCGCCCGUCACACCAUGGGAGUGGGUUGCAAAAGAAGUAGGUAGCUUAACCUUCGGGAGGGCGCUUACCACUUUGUGAUUCAUGACUGGGGUGAAGUCGUAACAAGGUAACCGUAGGGGAACCUGCGGUUGGAUCACCUCCUUACCUUAAAGAAGC
RNAcentral lists this ribosomal RNA (333 nucleotides) under Escherichia coli. Its description in RNAcentral is "bacterial SSU rRNA". It matches the Rfam family "Bacterial small subunit ribosomal RNA", at positions 1213 to 1533 of the family's 1533-position model. Lineage: Bacteria; Pseudomonadati; Pseudomonadota; Gammaproteobacteria; Enterobacterales; Enterobacteriaceae. The record is from RNAcentral.